This 1662-nucleotide ribosomal RNA is filed under the name Rhodococcus ruber BKS 20-38. RNAcentral's name for it is "bacterial LSU rRNA". It matches the Rfam family "Bacterial large subunit ribosomal RNA", at positions 469 to 1968 of the family's 2925-position model. The record is from RNAcentral. Lineage: Bacteria; Bacillati; Actinomycetota; Actinomycetes; Mycobacteriales; Nocardiaceae.
AAUACUCCCUGGUGACCGAUAGCGGACUAGUACCGUGAGGGAAAGGUGAAAAGUACCCCGGGAGGGGAGUGAAAUAGUACCUGAAACCGUGCGCUUACAAUCCGUCGGAGCCUGCGCGACCUUUGGUGGUCGGUGGGUGACGGCGUGCCUUUUGAAGAAUGAGCCUGCGAGUUAGUGGCAUGUCGCGAGGUUAACCCGUGUGGGGUAGUCGUAGCGAAAGCGAGUCCGAACAGGGCGUUGCAGUGGCAUGUUCUAGACCCGAAGCGGAGUGAUCUACCCAUGGCCAGGGUGAAGCGACGGUAAGACGUCGUGGAGGCCCGAACCCACUUAGGUUGAAAACUGAGGGGAUGAGCUGUGGGUAGGGGUGAAAGGCCAAUCAAACUCCGUGAUAGCUGGUUCUCCCCGAAAUGCAUUUAGGUGCAGCGUCGCGUGUUUCUCACCGGAGGUAGAGCUACUGGAUGGUCUAGGGGGCCCACAAGCUUACCGAAAUCAGCCAAACUCCGAAUGCCGGUGAGUGAGAGCGCGGCAGUGAGACUGCGGGGGAUAAGCUUCGUAGUCGAGAGGGAAACAGCCCAGAUCGCCGGCUAAGGCCCCUAAGCGUGUACUAAGUGGAAAAGGAUGUGGGAUCGCUGAGACAACCAGGAGGUUGGCUUAGAAGCAGCCACCCUUGAAAGAGUGCGUAAUAGCUCACUGGUCAAGUGGUUCUGCGCCGACAAUGUAGCGGGGCUCAAGUACACCGCCGAAGCCGCGGCACUCACACAACACCCCGGAGGGUUUACGGACCGUCCGGCAGUGGUGUGGGUGGGUAGGGGAGCGUCGUGCCGCCGGGGAAGCGCCGGAGUGAUCCAGGUGUGGAGGCGGCGCGAGUGAGAAUGCAGGCAUGAGUAGCGAAAGACGAGUGAGAAACUCGUCCGCCGAAUGACGAAGGGUUCCUGGGCCAGGUUAAUCCGCCCAGGGGGAGUCGGGACCUAAGGCGAGGCCGACAGGCGUAGUCGAUGGACAACGGGUUGAUAUUCCCGUACCCGUGUGAACGCGCCCCUGGUGAAUCAUCGGUACUAACCGUCCAAAGGGUGAUCGAUCUCCUUCGGGAGACGGGAUCCUGCUGCACGGGACCUUCGGUGGUAGUAGCCAAGCGAUGGGGUGACGCAGGAAGGUAGUGGGGCCGGUCAGUGGUUGUACCGGUGUAAGCCUGUAGGGCGUGACAUAGGCAAAUCCGUGUCGCACGAAGCCUGAGAGGUGAUGCGUAGCCGAAUGAGGCGAAUUCCAUGAUCCUAUGCUGCCGAGAAAAGCCUCUAGCGAGCUUUCACACGGCCCGUACCCCAAACCGACACAGGUGGUCAGGUAGAGAAUACCGAGGCGAUCGAGAGAACUGUGGUUAAGGAACUCGGCAAAAUGCCCCCGUAACUUCGGGAGAAGGGGGACCACGCCCGGUGAAGACCUUCGCGGUCGGAGCUGGGGGUGGUCGCAGAGACCAGAGAGAAGCGACUGUUUACUAAAAACACAGGUCCGUGCGAAGUCGUAAGACGAGGUAUACGGACUGACGCCUGCCCGGUGCUGGAAGGUUAAGAGGACCGGUCAGCGGAGUUCACUCCGCGAAGCUGAGAAUUUAAGCCCCAGUAAACGGCGGUGGUAACUAUAACCAUCCUAAGGUAGCGAAAUUCC